UUUUUGGCUGUGAUGGGGACCAGUAAGUCUGUCUUGCCUUGCAGAGAGCCGGCGGCGGGUGUAAGCCGGCAGGAGGGCAGUCCGAAUCCACCCCGGAGCUUGCUUUGAAAACCUGCAGUGCAGGGCGAAGGAGCACAGGCGGUUCUGUUAGAGACUGUUCAAGAGAAUGCCGGAAUCCGGAAUACUGUCUGGCAUUAAUUUGGGUGGCAACGCGGGUAUCUACUCCCGUCCCAGAA
This 236-nucleotide non-coding RNA is filed under the name Syntrophaceticus schinkii. RNAcentral describes it as "T-box sequence". It matches the Rfam family "T-box leader". From Rfam's summary of the family: Uncharged tRNA acts as the effector for transcription antitermination of genes in the T-box leader family. T-boxes are found upstream of many aminoacyl-tRNA synthetase genes and some amino acid biosynthetic genes usually in Gram-positive bacteria. Lineage: Bacteria; Bacillati; Bacillota; Clostridia; Thermoanaerobacterales; Thermoanaerobacterales Family III. Incertae Sedis. The record is from RNAcentral.